CCGGCUUUAGCUCAGUUGGUAGAGCGGGAGACUGUAGUGAACAUUGACAUCUCUAGGUCACCUGUUCGAAUCAGGUAAGCCGGA
This 84-nucleotide transfer RNA is filed under the name Parasitella parasitica. RNAcentral describes it as "tRNA-Tyr". It matches the Rfam family "tRNA". From Rfam's summary of the family: Transfer RNA (tRNA) molecules are approximately 80 nucleotides in length. Their secondary structure includes four short double-helical elements and three loops (D, anti-codon, and T loops). The record is from RNAcentral. Lineage: Eukaryota; Fungi; Mucoromycota; Mucoromycetes; Mucorales; Mucoraceae.